CCUAUAUUUAAUUAAUAAAAAUAAAUUUGUCUGUCCAUGAUUAUGUACAGAUUAACAAUGAGACAACAAUAUGGAAAGGUGCCAUUGUAUUCAAACGAACUGGAGUAGCAAAGGAUCUAAAGAAAAUCCCCAGCAUUGGGGUCAAAGUCUGAAAACCGAAAUCCUUGGUAUAGCAGAUCUGGUGCAGGAAAGUGCAAGAUGGUAUUGGACACGUUCUUCUAGGUCCCAGGUAACUAUGUAGCCAAGUGGUGAAAGACGUAUAGGCAGUCUGAUGGUAGUCACUUUGGAGGGGGGGAGAAAUAUGAAUAUUAUAAAUAAUAUAUAUACAAAAUUGUUAGAGUAUUUUUUAAGUAUCGCCUUUCCUGCAUCUGAGCGACACCAUGGAACCUCUGACGCUGGUAAUUAAGUGACAUUCUGUGAAAAACUACAAUAUGAUCCCUGCUAAUCAGUAUUUCUAUAAGGUACUCCAGUUCAAU
Molecule: non-coding RNA, 476 nt
Organism: Pelobates cultripes (western spadefoot toad)
Lineage: Eukaryota; Metazoa; Chordata; Amphibia; Anura; Pelobatidae
Source: the annotation of a GenBank genome assembly